GACGAACGCUGGCGGCGUGCUUAACACAUGCAAGUCGAACGGAAAGGCCCUGCUUUUGUGGGGUGCUCGAGUGGCGAACGGGUGAGUAACAUGGGAGUAACCUGCCCUGGACUGUGGGAUAACUUCAGGAAACUGGGGCUAAUACCGGCUAGGAGCGCCUGCUGCAUGGUGGUGGUUGGAAAGUUUCGGCGGUUGUGGAUGGACUCCCGGCUUAUCAGCUUGUUGGUGGGGGAGUUGCUUACCAAGGGUUCGACGGGUAGCCGGCAUGGGAGGGUGAACGCGGACAUUGGGACUGAGAUACGGCGCAGAGUGGAACGGGGGGCAGAAGUGGGGAAUAUUGUACAGUGGGGGGGAGCGUGAUGCAGCGACGCCGCGAGCGGGAUGAAGGCCUUCGGGUUGUAAACGGCAGUCAGUUGUGACGAAGCGGGAGUGACGGUAAUGGGUAAAGAAGCACCGGCUAACUACGUG
RNAcentral lists this ribosomal RNA (468 nucleotides) under uncultured bacterium. RNAcentral's name for it is "partial 16S ribosomal RNA". It matches the Rfam family "Bacterial small subunit ribosomal RNA", at positions 28 to 507 of the family's 1533-position model. The record is from RNAcentral.